GGGAGAUGGCAGCACAUCAUAAACUGCCCCCCAUCAUAAAUCUAAUCCUACUAGCCUCCAUGCUCCACAGCUCUCUCACGCUCUCACGACACCUUUCUUUUCUCUACACUCUCCCAGUUCACCCACUGUCCUUGCUUAGCCUGCGACACUGCCUUCAUGCAUCUCAUUGCUUCCUCUUGCCUAUGAAUUUCCUCCACUACCAUCUUCCUCUUUUCCGCCGUGGACGCCUUGCUCCACGGCGCCCCUGCACACAGUCCCAGGCCUCCACGCCCUUGCUGCACACGCCCCAUGAUAUCCCUAAGCCUGAGGGCAGCCUGCGCCUCCUGAACCGCAUAUCUUGGGUUCCACUUUCUCCCUGUUUUAACUGUUUUUGUUUAACAUACUGUGUAGUUAUAACACAAAUAAUAUUAUGAUGGUAGGGCAGGACAAGAGGUGAUGGAUUCCAUUGCAAUAGAAGAAGAGGAGGCAUCAAUGCCUGGACCAUCCAGAGGUACAGCAGUUGUUGAAGAUGGUAGGUGCGGUUCAGGCUUAGCAGUGGCAUAGGGAAAGACGCACUGUUUGAAUAUUAAAUUGUUUGCUUUUGAUGUCUUUCCUUAGAUAAUGAAACAACCACUGUUCUAUUUGUUUUUUGUUCAUAUUAGACUGGUUAACUGUCAGUGACCCCAACAAGGCCAUAUCACAGUGUGCGGACAAUUUUCUACGUGUCCAUGAAUCCAAAAGUCCACUGCUUCUCAGCAUGGACAUCAGAAAAAGUCCUGCUGAGCAGGACGUGGCACUUCUAUCAUUCUACGAGCGACCUAAUGUGGAAUGGGGACGACCCUUGAAUUACAAACCUUAAGGAGACACUGUUAUUGGACAUGUGGUGAAUCGUUUUUUUUCUCCAUGUGCAUUGACAAGUUGAGGUCAGGCUUUUGCAUCAAUUUUGGUAUGUAUAUAACAGAAUCCUUCCAAAUGCAAGCUGUACAACAAUAUUUAUUCUUCUGUCUGUAAAGGUCUAUGGUAUUUUGAUACGUUUGCUUUGUUUUAUACCGAAUGUUUGAUGGGUUAAUCUAAAUGUAUAAAGCUUGUAUUGAAGAUAUCUAGGUUUUCCAGUCCAUCAUAAAACUGAAAUGCAUUUUCUGACAACUACUCACUUUCACAUUCAUCUUUGUACUCUUUAAGAAGGCUUAUUACUUUUCUUUGUUGUCCUUAAUUCGUAUUUUUUGAUAUAUUGACAGCAAAUUCAAGCCUUACACGGCUCUUUGAAGGAGAGCCUGGCCAUUUAGUUCCCUCAGCUGCGCAUUUUCUUGUGGAAAGUGACAUGUUCAUGGGGGCGGGCAGAAUGAUAGGCCACUCCUUCCUUCCUUCAUGGUGGACCUUGCCUGCCGGGACUCAGCCCUGCUGUUACCCAUGUGUUACUUGGUGGAAGUCAAGAAACAGCGACAGUUACACUGGAGGACUGUCCAGAUGUGGACAUUAGAGAAACUAUCAGGCUUCUUGAAGGGGGGUCCAUACUCUCAGAAAAGGAAAAGCAAAGUGUCCAGGACUUGGCCAUUGCAUGGGACCUCCCUUCCUUAGGGGGAACAGAAAGUCUGAAUCCGGCCCCAGAGCCAAACUGAGUUUGACAUGCCUGUCUUACAGCCUCCACCUGCUUUGAGACCUUGCGCAUUCCAGGACAUUACAAGGACUACACAUUUUUUAAACAAGAUAUCCUGGCAUGUAUUUGGACUUGUCAUACAGGAUUUGGGUUUAUCUGAAUGACAUCUGGGUCUGUAUUUACACAGAUUUUUGCAUGUUAGUUGUUAGCAGUUGUUGUGUUUUGGACAAAUGCAACUAGGACUAUAAGCCAUAGAUUUCAGACCAAGCAC
Mugil cephalus (flathead mullet) is the source of this 1847-nucleotide long non-coding RNA. RefSeq lists it as uncharacterized. The record is from RefSeq and is a predicted model, not a curated record. Lineage: Eukaryota; Metazoa; Chordata; Actinopteri; Mugiliformes; Mugilidae. The transcript has 3 exons.